Molecule: ribosomal RNA, 503 nt
Filed under: uncultured bacterium
Lineage: Bacteria
Description: bacterial SSU rRNA
Rfam family: Bacterial small subunit ribosomal RNA
Source: RNAcentral
GAGUUUGAUCAUGGCUCAGGAUGAACGCUGGCGGCGUGCCUAAUACAUGCAAGUCGAGCGGUAAGGCUUCCACUCUGUGUUCAACGUGUUUGAACAUGGUGUGGAAGUACACGAGCGGCGGACGGCUGAGUAACACGUAGGAACGUACCCCAAACUGAGGGAUAAGCACCAGAAAUGGUGUCUAAUACCGCAUGUGCUCUUCGGAGUAAAGCUACGGCGGUUUGGGAACGGCCUGCGCAUGAUUAGCUUGUUGGUGAGGUAAAAGCUCACCAAGGCGACGAUCAUUAGCUGGUCUGAGAGGAUGAUCAGCCAGACUGGGACUGAGAACGGCCCAGACUCCUACGGGAGGCAGCAGUAGGGAAUUUUCCACAAUGGACGAAAGUCUGAUGGAGCAAACGCCGCGUGCAGGACGAAGGCCUGGUUGUAAACUGCUUUUAUCUGUGACGAUUAUGACGGUAGCAGAUGAAUAAGGAAUCGGCUAACUCCGUGCCAGCCGCCGCGGU